Molecule: ribosomal RNA, 1322 nt
Filed under: uncultured bacterium
Lineage: Bacteria
Description: bacterial SSU rRNA
Rfam family: Bacterial small subunit ribosomal RNA
Source: RNAcentral
GAUGAACGCUGGCGGCGUGCUUAACACAUGCAAGUCGAACGAACCUUCGGGUUAGCGGCGGACGGGUGAGUAACGCGUGGGAAUCUGCCCUCAGGAGGGGGAUAACAGUUGGAAACGACCGCUAAUACCCCAUAUGCCGAGAGGUGAAAUGAAUUUCGCCUGAGGAUGAGCCCGCGUCUGAUUAGCUUGUUGGUGAGGUAAUGGCUCACCAAGGCAUCGAUCAGCAGCUGGUCUGAGAGGAUGAUCAGCCACACUGGGACUGAGACACGGCCCAGACUCCUACGGGAGGCAGCAGUGGGGAAUUUUCCGCAAUGGGCGAAAGCCUGACGGAGCAACGCCGCGUGAGGGACGAAGGCCUCUGGGCUGUAAACCUCUUUUCUCAAGGAAGAAGAUAUGACGGUACUUGAGGAAUAAGCCACGGCUAAUUCCGUGCCAGCAGCCGCGGUAAUACGGGAGUGGCAAGCGUUAUCCGGAAUUAUUGGGCGUAAAGCGUCCGCAGGCGGCCUUUCAAGUCUGCUGUUAAAACGUGGAGCUUAACUCCAUCAUGGCAGUGGAAACUGAUUGGCUUGAGUAUGGUAGGGGCAGAGGGAAUUCCCGGUGUAGCGGUGAAAUGCGUAGAUAUCGGGAAGAACACCAGUGGCGAAGGCGCUCUGCUGGGCCAUUACUGACGCUCAUGGACGAAAGCCAGGGGAGCGAAAGGGAUUAGAUACCCCUGUAGUCCUGGCCGUAAACGAUGAACACUAGGUGUCGGGGGAAUCGACCCCUUCGGUGUCGUAGCUAACGCGUUAAGUGUUCCGCCUGGGGAGUACGCACGCAAGUGUGAAACUCAAAGGAAUUGACGGGGGCCCGCACAAGCGGUGGAGUAUGUGGUUUAAUUCGAUGCAACGCGAAGAACCUUACCAGGGCUUGACAUCCUGCGAACCUUUAAGAAAUUAGAGGGUGCCUUCGGGAACGCAGUGACAGGUGGUGCAUGGCUGUCGUCAGCUCGUGUCGUGAGAUGUUGGGUUAAGUCCCGCAACGAGCGCAACCCACGUUUUUAGUUGCCAGCAUUUAGUUGGGCACUCUAGAAAGACCGCCGGUGAUAAACCGGAGGAAGGCGUGGAUGACGUCAAGUCAUCAUGCCCCUUACGUCCUGGGCUACACACGUACUACAAUGCUACGGACAAAGGGCAGCAAACUCGCGAGAGCUAGCAAAUCCCAUAAACCGUGGCUCAGUUCAGAUCGUAGGCUGCAACUCGCCUACGUGAAGUAGGAAUCGCUAGUAAUCGCAGGUCAGCAUACUGCGGUGAAUACGUUCCCGGGCCUUGUACUCACCGCCCGUC